Molecule: long non-coding RNA, 1341 nt
Filed under: Calidris pygmaea (Spoon-billed sandpiper)
Lineage: Eukaryota; Metazoa; Chordata; Aves; Charadriiformes; Scolopacidae
Description: lncRNA (ENSCPGG00000013601.1)
Source: RNAcentral
CCCUGAAAUCUGGGAGUUUAGAUCCAGAUCUAAACGGAAUGAUGGUCUGCAAAGCAAUUUUGCCAUCCUGCUGAUGUCCUUGUGGAGAGAUCAGAAAGAGAGAAAAAGGCACAAACACUUCAGAAUGACAAGUAUGCUCUUAAUUACACAGUGGCAGGCAUCAAGAGAGAGUAUGAAAUAAGAACCAGUAUGUCUUAAUUUUGAAAAAAAUUAUGAUAUAGAUAAAAUCGAUACUUUUUUCCUAUUCCCCACACAUCAGCACUGCAUGUGUCUCUGUAGUCUCUACUUUUCUCAUUUGGAGACAGAAAAAUCUUUCAAUUAAAAGGAUUGCUACAAAAUCUCAUAUCUAAUUAGCACGUAAUUGUAGGAGGGACACAAACUGUAACUUUGCUCUGCUGGUUUUGGUAGUAGAGAAGCUGCUGCUCUCUGGGCUAUGAUCAAACAGGUUUGUCACCAGGACAGACCCCCCUCUCAACCUCAGCAUCCCCUUGCCAGGGCCACUCCUGGGUCUGGAGGUGGCAGAACCACAUCUUGGAGACACAGAGGUGCACAAGACAAACUCUAAAGAAAGCGCAUCAUCUAUUGGGGGAAAAGGAAGACUCUAAGGGGAAAUUUCCAGAGGAGAUGAAAGGAGGACAGCAGUCUUCCUCGCUGCUUCUCCGAGGGCUCCUAUUCAUACCAGGCUGGGAUUUGCCAGUGGAGAUAACCACUGGUUAAUCAAAUCCAGCUUCCCUGCUCACAAUUGUACUGAAAUUUGCUUUCUGUACAUAGACCAUUUACUCCAGCUGCAAAUCCAUUCUGUUAAGAGGGAACAACCAAGCUAAAAGGCAGCUUACCGUAAUGGAGUGCGGUCUGGCCUUCCCCGUCCUGAAAAAAAGAGUGAGAGAGACUUGAUUUUAGAGACACAGGUAAUAUCGUGGGGACACAAGAAAAUCCCAGUUUUAAGUAAAUAAGCUCAAUCACAGCAAUAUUUAAUUGACUAGAUAAACAGCCCAGGACACCCAGCUACCUGGCAGUUAGGCUUUGAAUCAUCAUCCACCAUCAAUCCAUAUUGAUGGAUAAUCAAUAUCUAUCCACCCGUAAGAGUGCGUGGAUCACGUCAUGACAUGAGUAUAAUUCAGUUCAUAGCGUUAUCACUUCCAGCCCAUAAAAAUGAAGGAUUUCAGUCCUGCGGCCUUACUUUGGGACCCUCGCUAAUCCUGAUGCUUUAGUGCAAGAUGCUCCUGUGCAAGCCCAGCCUCGGCCAGCUACUUGAGAGAAGGGUAAAGCCACGGGGAUGCUGGCACAGCUCCGUGCCCUGCACUCUUCAGCACAGGAGAGCCCACAGGGGAAAACCCCACU